UUUGAUUUUGGGCUGAUAACA
Non-coding RNA from Caenorhabditis elegans, 21 nucleotides. The record is from Ensembl. Lineage: Eukaryota; Metazoa; Nematoda; Chromadorea; Rhabditida; Rhabditidae.